Molecule: non-coding RNA, 950 nt
Organism: Oryctolagus cuniculus (rabbit)
Lineage: Eukaryota; Metazoa; Chordata; Mammalia; Lagomorpha; Leporidae
Source: RefSeq, a predicted model, not a curated record
GGUAAAUCAGAAAAGGAACGACAGAAACAGCCCCGGCAGGUGUCUGUGCGCCGCGCGGUCGCUGUUACACCGCGCCCCUGGCCCCCAACGGUUCCACUCCGGACCCAAGUUUGGGCCCCUUAUUUCGCCUCUAGAAACAGAUAUCAACGAAAAACAAUCCUGGAUGUAAGCAUACAUCUAUCUACACCGACGUUUAGCACAGCAACUUAUAACGCAUUCGUCAACAACAACUAAAUACAACUGAACGUUUAAACAUAAUCUUUACAGUGGCACAAACAGAAAUAGUGGAUCAAGUUCUAAACCCCAACCUUCAGAGGACACCAAGGUUUCCAGAACCAGGCCUAGAUCGGUCAGAGACUGGUGGCAUGGAGGCACUACUUUUGUCCCCAAGGAGACUGAUUCUGUCCACAGUGUGGAGUUCCUGCUGUGCAGACACCGACUGUUUAAUGAACAAAGAAGGUGGCCCUUGUCAUGCCAGAGCCCAGAACACGGUGGUGCAGAUCUACUUUAAAUCACUAGUGGAUGUUGUCGCUCUCUUUUGGUAAAAUGAUAACAUGCUUAUUUCCAAAGAAUGUGGUUGAAGAUAAAUCUUUGUGCAUUUAGGAUCAAAUAUGCAUGCAAAUAUAAAAUACUAAAAUAUACACGCGAUGGCUGAAUUUAAAUAGAGUGCAAAGCCAGUGUAUUUGCACUUAAAAUGACUAAAGAAACUUAAAUCACCCUGCUUGCUGACAGAUUGCAUGGAGCCCACGGCAGUCUAUCUUCUUUUUAGCAAUUUAUCAACCAAUCAUUAAGUGAGUUAACUCUACACUCGGGGAAUGCUGAUGGCAGCAUUAGCCAUAAAUAAAUAAGCUAAUAUGUACAAUGGCUAAAUGAAUAGGCUUUGCCUUGUUGUUUUACGGCCCGAAAAGAACGCAGCUCUUCAUUAAAGGAAUCAUUAGAAAAUGUGGAAA